GGUCUUCCUCCCGCACCCGGGGCCUCGGCCAGACAGACGCCCGGGCAGAAUGGCGACGGGCCCGAGUCGGUCUCAGCUCCCAACGCUCCGUUACCCCUCUACGGUCCGCUGCCCCCGCGCGGUCCGGCUCUGUCCGUCCACCCACACUCACCCCACCGCGGAGCAGCCCUGAAUCACCCGCGGCGAAGAUGCGCGACCCCUGGCCUUAGCUCGCGUCGCGUAGCUGCAGUUCCGGGCGGCGCUGUGAACUGCGCUCUGGCGUGGGGUUUAAGGUGUGUUCAACCAGUCCUUCGAAGGGGGCAAGGCUGGCGGGGAGACAGUCUUGACUGCACUGGAAUCCUCAGCAACCCAGGAUUCUCAGCCGCCUAGGUGGCCCGAGGCAGGGUUGGAAGCGGAUGCACUUGAUACUCACGGAGAGCGACAUGAAGCUGCGCUGCCACACAACCAAUGCAAGUACUGGGAUGCAAUCACUGGACAUCUUUCACUAGCCUGGGGCUUUCUCGGAGCUCCCUUCCACCCCACCCCCGCUUCGCUGGUCCCCGAACAAUCCUAAGGCAUCCUCGCCAUACCAUUAGAAUGAAGGGAGGCCACAGAGGCCUGGCUGAAGGACUUGAUUCAUGGGCAGAGCCCAGUCUACAAGCCUUCUGACACUUUUCGACAAAGUGCAAAAUAAAGCGGUGAGAGACAGGACAGACAUCACGGAGAGUCUGAUUCUGCGGAGGCCCUGGAGUUGCUGAGAGGACAAUGGAUGCUGGUCAGCUGGCGCUGAAGAGUCAGCUAUGACUAAGAAGAGACCAGCAUUGCCGAGGUGAGUCUUCUGUGAAGUGUUUCCUCAGGGUCAGCACACAGAAGCUGUGGUCCCGAGGCUUCAAUGGCGUACUUCCUGCUGGUGACCAAAUUUGGUAGUGUAAGAGUCACCCAGGUAGUACUGGUUUUGAAAGCAUGAAGGGGCCAUGGAGGGCAGCUAAGGCUUGGCACUGUGAGAGCCCAGGAGAGGCUGUUGGUGAAGGUGCAGCCAGAGUAGCCGUGGAAGUCCCAGAACUAAAAGGGUCAUGCAGAGAAGUUGAGGCUUUGCACCAUCAAGACAGCCCAGGAAAGGCUAUUGGUGAAGGUGCAGCCCAGUUGCAGCAGAAGACCCCAGCAUUUUGGAAAUGCCAGUACCAUGGGAUGACCACCAAGAACAGCAGUGGAGUGGAGCCACCUGGCCUAGAUGCCAAGCUUGUGUGCACAGAAGGCGAAGCUGGAGAAGAGACCAAACCACUUUAGGAGCCCAGAAGAUUGUGAGUGAAUCCCAGAUACUGGACAUUGAGUUAUUUGCACUGCUGGAGUUUGGUUUUGCUUGUUCAGAUUGUGACUGUGGCCCUGGUUCUUCCCUCUUGAAGUGAGAAAGCAUUUAGCUUAUUUUUAUUUUACAGGAGUCCACCAUUGAGAAACUUUGAAUCUUUAAAAGAGAUUUUGGAUUUUAAAAGACACUCUGAACUUUAACAGAGACUGAAGUUUUAAAGUGCUACACUGUGGGACUUUUAAGUUUGUAAUUUGUUUUACACUUGUGAUGUUUACUAUCUGAGGUCUUGGGAAUAAACAAAAAAAGGUUAUGUCUUCAAAAA
Molecule: long non-coding RNA, 1607 nt
Organism: Mesocricetus auratus (golden hamster)
Lineage: Eukaryota; Metazoa; Chordata; Mammalia; Rodentia; Cricetidae
Exons: 2
Source: RefSeq, a predicted model, not a curated record